GGGUUGUGAGGUUAAGCGACUAAGCGUACACGGUGGAUGCCCUGGCAGUCAGAGGCGAUGAAGGGCGUGCUAAUCUGCGAUAAGCGCCGGUAAGGUGAUAUGAACCGUUAUAACCGGCGAUACCCGAAUGGGGAAACCCAGUGUGAUUCGUCACACUAUCAUUAACUGAAUCCAUAGGUUAAUGAGGCGAACCGGGGGAACUGAAACAUCUAAGUACCCCGAGGAAAAGAAAUCAACCGAGAUUCCCCCAGUAGCGGCGAGCGAACGGGGAGGAGCCCAGAGCCUGAAUCAGCAUGUGUGUUAGUGGAAGCGUCUGGAAAGGCGCGCGAUACAGGGUGACAGCCCCGUACACAAAAGCGCAUGUGCUGUGAGCUCGAUGAGUAGGGCGGGACACGUGGUAUCCUGUCUGAAUAUGGGGGGACCAUCCUCCAAGGCUAAAUACUCCUGACUGACCGAUAGUGAACCAGUACCGUGAGGGAAAGGCGAAAAGAACCCCGGCGAGGGGAGUGAAAAAGAACCUGAAACCGUGUACGUACAAGCAGUGGGAGCCCCACCACUAAGCCAGUGGUGAACUCCACAUACGCAUCCUUUGCUGAGGAUACGGUUAACGGAGCGAAAGCGACGUUCAACCGCAAAAGAAGCAGAGGGGGCUUAGUGGUGGGGUGACUGCGUACCUUUUGUAUAAUGGGUCAGCGACUUAUAUUCUGUAGCAAGGUUAACCGUAUAGGGGAGCCGGAGGGAAACCGAGUCUUAAUUGGGCGUUAAGUUGCAGGGUAUAGACCCGAAACCCGGUGAUCUAGCCAUGGGCAGGUUGAAGGUUGGGUAACACUAACUGGAGGACCGAACCGACUAAUGUUGAAAAAUUAGCGGAUGACCUGUGGCUGGGGGUGAAAGGCCAAUCAAACCGGGAGAUAGCUGGUUCUCCCCGAAAGCUAUUUAGGUAGCGCCUCGUGAACUCAUCUCCGGGGGUAGAGCACUGUUUCGGCUAGGGGGCCAUCCCGGCUUACCAACCCGAUGCAAACUGCGAAUACCGGAGAAUGUUAUCACGGGAGACACACGGCGGGUGCUAACGUCCGUCGUGAAGAGGGAAACAACCCAGACCGCCAGCUAAGGUCCCAAAGUCAUGGUUAAGUGGGAAACGAUGUGGGAAGGCCCAGACAGCCAGGAUGUUGGCUUAGAAGCAGCCAUCAUUUAAAGAAAGCGUAAUAGCUCACUGGUCGAGUCGGCCUGCGCGGAAGAUGUAACGGGGCUAAACCAUGCACCGAAGCUGCGGCAGCGACACUGUGUGUUGUUGGGUAGGGGAGCGUUCUGUAAGCCUGUGAAGGUGUGUCGUGAGGCAUGCUGGAGGUAUCAGAAGUGCGAAUGCUGACAUAAGUAACGAUAAAGCGGGUGAAAAGCCCGCUCGCCGGAAGACCAAGGGUUCCUGUCCAACGUUAAUCGGGGCAGGGUGAGUCGACCCCUAAGGCGAGGCCGAAAGGCGUAGUCGAUGGGAAACGGGUUAAUAUUCCCGUACUUGGUGUUACUGCGAAGGGGGGACGGAGAAGGCUAUGUUGGCCGGGCGACGGUUGUCCCGGUUUAAGCGUGUAGGUGUGUGUUCCAGGUAAAUCCGGUUCACUUUAACACUGAGGCGUGACGACGAGGCACUACGGUGCUGAAGCAACAAAUGCCCUGCUUCCAGGAAAAGCCUCUAAGCAUCAGGUAACAUCAAAUCGUACCCCAAACCGACACAGGUGGUCAGGUAGAGAAUACCAAGGCGCUUGAGAGAACUCGGGUGAAGGAACUAGGCAAAAUGGUGCCGUAACUUCGGGAGAAGGCACGCUGACACGUAGGUGAAGUGAUUUACUCAUGGAGCUGAAGUCAGUCGAAGAUACCAGCUGGCUGCAACUGUUUAUUAAAAACACAGCACUGUGCAAACACGAAAGUGGACGUAUACGGUGUGACGCCUGCCCGGUGCCGGAAGGUUAAUUGAUGGGGUCAGCGCAAGCGAAGCUCCUGAUCGAAGCCCCGGUAAACGGCGGCCGUAACUAUAACGGUCCUAAGGUAGCGAAAUUCCUUGUCGGGUAAGUUCCGACCUGCACGAAUGGCGUAAUGAUGGCCAGGCUGUCUCCACCCGAGACUCAGUGAAAUUGAACUCGCUGUGAAGAUGCAGUGUACCCGCGGCAAGACGGAAAGACCCCGUGAACCUUUACUAUAGCUUGACACUGAACAUUGAGCCUUGAUGUGUAGGAUAGGUGGGAGGCUUUGAAGCGUGGACGCCAGUCUGCGUGGAGCCAACCUUGAAAUACCACCCUUUAAUGUUUGAUGUUCUAACGUGGACCCGUAAUCCGGGUUGCGGACAGUGUCUGGUGGGUAGUUUGACUGGGGCGGUCUCCUCCUAAAGAGUAACGGAGGAGCACGAAGGUUGGCUAAUCCUGGUCGGACAUCAGGAGGUUAGUGCAAUGGCAUAAGCCAGCUUGACUGCGAGCGUGACGGCGCGAGCAGGUGCGAAAGCAGGUCAUAGUGAUCCGGUGGUUCUGAAUGGAAGGGCCAUCGCUCAACGGAUAAAAGGUACUCCGGGGAUAACAGGCUGAUACCGCCCAAGAGUUCAUAUCGACGGCGGUGUUUGGCACCUCGAUGUCGGCUCAUCACAUCCUGGGGCUGAAGUAGGUCCCAAGGGUAUGGCUGUUCGCCAUUUAAAGUGGUACGCGAGCUGGGUUUAGAACGUCGUGAGACAGUUCGGUCCCUAUCUGCCGUGGGCGCUGGAGAACUGAGGGGGGCUGCUCCUAGUACGAGAGGACCGGAGUGGACGCAUCACUGGUGUUCGGGUUGUCAUGCCAAUGGCACUGCCCGGUAGCUAAAUGCGGAAGAGAUAAGUGCUGAAAGCAUCUAAGCACGAAACUUGCCCCGAGAUGAGUUCUCCCUGAGACUUAGAGUCUCCUGAAGGAACGUUGAAGACGACGACGUUGAUAGGCCGGGUGUGUAAGCGCAGCGAUGCGUUGAGCUAACCGGUACUAAUGAACCGUGAGGCUUAACCUUACAACGCCGAAG
RNAcentral lists this ribosomal RNA (3027 nucleotides) under Salmonella enterica subsp. enterica serovar Worthington. RNAcentral describes it as "23S ribosomal RNA". It matches the Rfam family "Bacterial large subunit ribosomal RNA". Lineage: Bacteria; Pseudomonadati; Pseudomonadota; Gammaproteobacteria; Enterobacterales; Enterobacteriaceae. The record is from RNAcentral.